This 497-nucleotide ribosomal RNA is filed under the name uncultured bacterium. Its description in RNAcentral is "bacterial SSU rRNA". It matches the Rfam family "Bacterial small subunit ribosomal RNA", at positions 8 to 526 of the family's 1533-position model. The record is from RNAcentral.
AGAGUUUGAUCCUGGCUCAGGAUGAACGCUGGCGGUCUGCUUAACACAUGCAAGUCGAACGGUGUCUUCGGACACAGUGGCGGACGGGUGAGUAACGCGUGAGAAUCUGCCUUCAGGUCUGGGACAACAGAGGGAAACCGCUGCUAAUACCGGAUGUGCCGAGAGGUGAAAGCUUUAGUGCCUGAAGAUGAGCUCGCGUCUGAUUAGCUAGUUGGAGGGGUAACGGCCCACCAAGGCGACGAUCAGUAGCUGGUCUGAGAGGAUGAUCAGCCACACUGGGACUGAGACACGGCCCAGACUCCUACGGGAGGCUGCAGUCGAGAAUCAUUCUAAAUGGACGAAAGUCUGAAGAUGCGACGACGCGUGGGGGAUGAAGGCCUUUUAGGUUGUAAACCCUAGUCUCGAGUGAAGAAAUGCGUCGGAGAUAACAUCAACGGCGCUUGACGUUAGCUCGAAAGAAGCACCGGCUAACUACGUGCCAGCCGCCGCGGUAAUUC